This 497-nucleotide ribosomal RNA is filed under the name uncultured bacterium. RNAcentral's name for it is "partial 16S ribosomal RNA". It matches the Rfam family "Bacterial small subunit ribosomal RNA", at positions 28 to 507 of the family's 1533-position model. The record is from RNAcentral.
GAUGAACGCUGGCGGCGUGCCUAAUACAUGCAAGUCGAACGAACGGACGAUAAGCUUGCUUCUCUGAUGUUAGCGGCGGACGUGUGAGUAACACGUGGAUAACCUACCUAUAAGACUGGGAUAACUUCGGGAAACCGGCGCUAAUACCGGAUAAUAUUUUGAACCGCAUGGUUCAAAAGUGAAAGACGGUCUUGCUGUCACUUAUAGAUGGAUCCGCGCUGCAUUAGCUAGUUGGUAAGGUAACGGCUUACCAAGGCAACGAUGCAUAGCCGACCUGAGAGGGUGAUAGGCCACACGGGAACUGAGACACGGUCCAGACUCCUACGGGAGGCAGCAGUAGGGAACCGUACGCAAUGGGCGAAAGCCUGACGGAGCAACGCCGAGUGAGUGAUGAAGGUGUUCGGAUCGUAAAACUCUGUUAUUAGGGAAGAACAUAUGUGUAAGGAACUGUGCACAGCUUGACGGUACCUAAUCAGAAAGCCACGGCUAACUACGUG